Molecule: long non-coding RNA, 233 nt
Filed under: Setaria italica (foxtail millet)
Lineage: Eukaryota; Viridiplantae; Streptophyta; Magnoliopsida; Poales; Poaceae
Description: long non-coding RNA (SITA_LNC006002)
Source: RNAcentral
GAAAACAUACUCUGCUGUAAUGUCGAUUUCAACACUCUAUCUGGACCAACAACUGAAUGAUUUGAGCGGCCAAAUCAUCUACAUGUGCAGGUAUCAUAAGUUCAAUCCCGUCAUCAUCCUUGAAUUUCUCUUUCCAAGGCUUAAAAGACUUGUCCUGGAACAAGAAGAAAACCCAACAAAUAAAAGAUAUUGGGGUGAUUCACAGGAGCAAAUUAAGAAAAAGGAGAAUAUUU